GGGGGCCCGCACAAGCGGUGGAGCAUGUGGUUUAAUUCGAUGCAACGCGAAGAACCUUACCUGGUCUUGACAUCCACAGAACUUUCCAGAGAUGGAUUGGUGCCUUCGGGAACUGUGAGACAGGUGCUGCAUGGCUGUCGUCAGCUCGUGUUGUGAAAUGUUGGGUUAAGUCCCGCAACGAGCGCAACCCUUAUCCUUUGUUGCCAGCGGUCCGGCCGGGAACUCAAAGGAGACUGCCAGUGAUAAACUGGAGGAAGGUGGGGAUGACGUCAAGUCAUCAUGGCCCUUACGACCAGGGCUACACACGUGCUACAAUGGCGCAUACAAAGAGAAGCGACCUCGCGAGAGCAAGCGGACCUCAUAAAGUGCGUCGUAGUCCGGAUUGGAGUCUGCAACUCGACUCCAUGAAGUCGGAAUCGCUAGUAAUCGUGGAUCAGAAUGCCACGGUGAAUACGUUCCCGGGCCUUGUACACACCGCCCGUCACACCAUGGGAGUGGGUUGCAAAAGAAGUAGGUAGCUUAACCUUCGGGAGAGCGCUUACCACUUUGUGAUUCAUGACUGGGGUGAAGUCGUAACAAGGUAACCGUAGGGGAACCUGCGGUUGGAUCACCUCCUUA
RNAcentral lists this ribosomal RNA (618 nucleotides) under Escherichia coli. RNAcentral's name for it is "bacterial SSU rRNA". It matches the Rfam family "Bacterial small subunit ribosomal RNA", at positions 915 to 1533 of the family's 1533-position model. The record is from RNAcentral. Lineage: Bacteria; Pseudomonadati; Pseudomonadota; Gammaproteobacteria; Enterobacterales; Enterobacteriaceae.